UGACGCUGUAGACGCUGCGCACGGUCCCUAUUUCCGGACAGUAAGCAGAGAUGUCGCAACGGUCGUUUUGUCGGUAAAAAGAUUUAGCAACUGAGUUCUGUAUAGUUAGCGGAAUAAAACAACAAUUCUUAUUUUUUAUUGUUGCUACUGGCAGUUAGCAACUGGCAGGCGACAGGGAGAUUCUCAACUUUUCUUCACAGUCGAAUAUUGGUCUCAAGUACACAGAACGCAAUCUUCACCUUACCUUAUAACACGAGGAAGUAUGACUCUCUUCCCUUUAGUUGAUGGAAGAGGCGCUUUCGAAUCAGCAGCAGCUUCUCGCUCAUCCACUCAAGGCGCUCAAGGGGCUAUGUUCGAAAGGCCAGUGCACGGUCUUACAUACAGGUCUUGAAACGAAGGUAGUGGGGGUGGCUCUCUUAACGUGUGCUCAAUUAUUUCACUUUGUGGCCGCCAGAUCGGCGUUGUGAUCGAGGGAUGGAUAAUCAACGCAUGCGCGAUGCACAAUAGCCCUAAUAAAAAGAAAUAUUAUUAUUAUUGUUGUUAUAAGUAUUGAAUUUUUAUGAAUAAAAGUAGUUAAUUAAUAU
Molecule: long non-coding RNA, 584 nt
Organism: Venturia canescens
Lineage: Eukaryota; Metazoa; Arthropoda; Insecta; Hymenoptera; Ichneumonidae
Exons: 2
Source: RefSeq, a predicted model, not a curated record